CUUCACCCAAUAAAAUUAUUGAUUCUCAUUCUCCAAACAUCCCCCCUAGUGUGAUUCACAAGCUCUCAAAAGGAGACACAUUUUCUAAAGCAAUUGUCCUUCAUACAUUACUAUCAUCAUCAUUCAUUGUACUCCAAACACACAGUAACCCCAUAAACUUAUUAGUACUACCUUCCCCAUGGGGCUGCACUUGCUGCUCCUAGCCAAGCUCCACCUCAUAGCCACCGCCCGCAGCCUAAGUCCGACAUUGGUGGCCGGAUUGAUAUGGCCUUUCAUGCUCAAACUGUCCUUCAGUUUCAGACCCCUUCGCCGAUCUUUUACCAACAUGAUGUACUCAUCCAGGCUUUUCUUUUUUCAACUUGGUCACAUAGCCUUCAGCACCGAACGCCUCGGCAAUGGCACACCACGGUGGCAGAGAGCUGUCCGGCUGGUCUACGAGAGGAUGACACUCGUGAGACGGUCACAGGACACCGAGUCAGAUGAAGAUAGUUGGCGUACCCUCACUAUGCUUGCACUCUAAGGACAUGUUCAUGAAGUGCUGGACUCAGCAGCCACCGACCUAACAUAGGCGCAGUGGGACGGAUGCCCCUAGAAUUUCUUUUAUUUGUAUUAUUAUUUAUAUAUUUUGUUAAAAUUUUAAAAAUAUCCUCACUCAAUCUUUUAAAAUAUUAUAUUAUAUACUUUUGCCCCUCAUUAAUAGAUUCUAACUUUAGGUAAUUAAGUUUUUAUAAUUAUUCUUUUAUUUUUUAAAAUUUGUCGUUAAUUUCAUUUUCUUAAUUUUAUGAUGCUAAUCAAUAAAAUUUUUGGGUCCUUCCAGUAACUGGUAUGCUUGUGUUGUAUUUUCCUUUUUCAUGAACCAUUAUAGCGGCUGUUUGGUGCCAAAUGAGUUCUGAGAAUAUUUUAGAAAAAUGGAGACUUAUGUAGAGUUAGAGAUAUUUAAAAAAAAGUGUUGUGAGAGUAUUAAAUCUUAACCGGUAAAUAUAAUGCAUGUUGAGUGUUCAUUUGAUAGAAGAGUAUAUAUAAAGGUGAAUAAAAUUAGAUGUAAAGUGUAUAUGGUACCUAACUCAAAGAUAAAAAGUUUAGAGAAUGAUAGAGUUAACAACAGGUAAUCGCUUCCAAUCCGGUCAAAGAAUGAUAUAUGCAGCAGUUUCUUAUUUUCUACCUAACAGGGACAGACAGAGGAACCUUACAAGGUGUCUCAUAAUGCACCACACCACCAAAAUCAAGUACCAACCCCACUAGGUAGAAAGAAGGGAAGUCCACAGCGCCAGAUCAAAAGACUCUUGUCACCAAAACGAUCGAUCAGUAAGCCAACGUUGAAAUGAUCUAUCUAAGAGAAUCCUUCAUUCGCGGGAUAUAUGCUAUAAUUAAUGGAUUGAGUGUAGUUAUAAAGACAAAAAUAAACUUACUCGUAUCACUUCUCGUCCAAACCCAUUCAAGUGCCAAGUUCAUCAGGUAUGGUAAGGGAGGAAGAUUUUUCUGUCCAAAACCAUUGUAUUGUAUAAAAAAAAAAAAAAAAAAAAAAAAAAAAAAAAAAAAAAAAAAAAUUAAA
Cornus florida is the source of this 1552-nucleotide long non-coding RNA. RefSeq lists it as uncharacterized. The transcript is spliced from 2 exons. The record is from RefSeq and is a predicted model, not a curated record. Lineage: Eukaryota; Viridiplantae; Streptophyta; Magnoliopsida; Cornales; Cornaceae.